CCUACGGGAGGCAGCAGUAGGGAAUCUUCCACAAUGGACGAAAGUCUGAUGGAGCAACGCCGCGUGAGUGAAGAAGGGUCUCGGCUCGUAAAGCUUUGUUGGUAGUGAAGUAAGAUAGAGGAAGUAACUCGCCUUUAUUUGACGGUAAUUACUUAGAAAGUCACGGCUAACUACGUGCCAGCAGCCGCGGUAAUACGUAGGUGGCAAGCGGUGUCCGGAUUUAUUGGGCGUAAAGCGAGUGCAGGCGGUUCAUUAAGUCUGAUGUGAAAGCCUGCGGCUCAACCGGAGAAUUGCAUCAGAAACUGGUGAACUUGAGUGCAGUAGAGGAGAGUGGAACUCCAGGUGUAGCGGUGAAAUGCGUAGAUAUAUGGAAGAACACCGGUGGCGAAGGCGGCUCUCUGGUCUGCAACUGACGCUGAGGCUCGAAAGCAUGGGUAGCGAACAGGAUUAGAUACCCUGGUAGUC
RNAcentral lists this ribosomal RNA (465 nucleotides) under uncultured bacterium. RNAcentral describes it as "partial 16S ribosomal RNA". It matches the Rfam family "Bacterial small subunit ribosomal RNA", at positions 338 to 795 of the family's 1533-position model. The record is from RNAcentral.